UAGGGAAUCUUCCGCAAUGGGCGAAAGCUUGACGGAGCAACGCCGCGUGAGUGAUGAAGGUCUUCGGAUCGUAAAACUCUGUUAUUAGGGAAGAACAAAUGUGUAAGUAACUAUGCACGUCUUGACGGUACCUAAUCAGAAAGCCACGGCUAACUACGUGCCAGCAGCCGCGGUAAUACGUAGGUGGCAAGCGUUAUCCGGAAUUAUUGGGCGUAAAGCGCGCGUAGGCGGUUUUUUAAGUCUGAUGUGAAAGCCCACGGCUCAACCGUGGAGGGUCAUUGGAAACUGGAAAACUUGAGUGCAGAAGAGGAAAGUGGAAUUCCAUGUGGAGCGGUGAAAUGCGCAGAGAUAUGGAGGAACACCAGUGGCGAAGGCGACUUUCUGGUCUGUAACUGACGCUGAUGUGCGAAAGCGUGGGGAUCAAACAGG
Molecule: ribosomal RNA, 429 nt
Filed under: Actinomycetes bacterium
Lineage: Bacteria; Bacillati; Actinomycetota; Actinomycetes
Description: Actinobacteria bacterium partial 16S ribosomal RNA
Rfam family: Bacterial small subunit ribosomal RNA
Source: RNAcentral